AUAUCAAUAAGCGGAGGAAAAGAAACUAACCAGGAUUCCCCUAGUAGCGGCGAGCGAACCGGGAAGAGCCCAAAUUUAAAAUCUCCAGCUUUCAGCUGGCGAAUUGUAGUCUCUAGAGGCAUUAUCUUCAGCUAGCCGAUCCAAAGUUCCCCUGGAAAGGGACGUCCAAGAGGGUGAGAACCCCGUAGGUGAGGUGAAGCUGUAUCACGAUGUGCUUUCGCAGAGUCGGGUUGCUUGGGAAUGCAGCCCAAAGUAGGUGGUAAAUCCCAUCUAAGGCUAAAUACUGGCGGGAGACCGAUAGUGAACAAGUACCGUGAGGGAAAGAUGCAAAGAACUUUGAAAAGAGAGUUAAAAGUGCUUGAAAUUGUUGAGGGGGAAGGGAUUGGAAGGCUAAUGUGUGUUCUUGGGUUUGAUACAGGCAGUUCUGCCUGUUGAUGCGCCAUGAAGCCUGCCAGCAUCGGCUCGGCAGCCGGGACAAAAGCUGCUUAUGUACGCAGUCUAUGCCGGCUGCUGGGCCGAGGAUAAAGGGCGCUCUCUGAGUCCUUCGGGAACGGCGCCCUCUGGAUGCUGGCUUUACGCUCCAAUCUGCCCGUCUUGAAACACGGACCAAGGAGUCUAACAUGUAGCGAGCCGGUGGGUUUAACACCCAUGAGACGCAAGUAACCUGACUGGUGGGAUGGGUAAAACCUGCACCAUCGACCGACCAUGAUCUUCUGUGAAAGGUUUGAGUAAGAGCAUGCCUGUUGGGACCCGAAAGAUGGUGAACUAUGCCUGAGCAGGGCGAACGCAGAGGAAACUCUGGUGGAGGCUCGUAGAUGUGCUGACGUGCAAAUCGCUUUUCGGACUUGGGUAUAGGGGCGAAAGACUAAUCGAACCAUCUAGUAGCUGGUUCCCUCCGAAGUUUCCCCCAGGAUAGCUGGAGCUUGUGCAGUUUUAUCGGGUAAAGCGAAUGAUUAGAGGUACCGGGGAUGAAACAUCCUCGACCUAUUCUCAAACUUUAAAUAGGUAAGACGUAAUGGUUACUUAACUGAACCGUGGCAGUCAAUGAGAGCUCCAAGUGGGCCAUUUUUGGUAAGCAGAACUGGCGAUGCGGGAUGAACCGAAAGCCGGGUUAAGGCGCCAAAUUGCGCGCUAACCUAGAUCCCACAAAGGGUGUUGAUUGAUAUAGACAGCAGGACGGUGGUCAUGGAAGUCGAAACCCGCUAAGGAGUGUGUAACAACUCACCUGCCGAAUCAAUUAGCCCCGAAAAUGGAUGGCGCUGAAGCGCGCAGCCUAUACCCGGCCAUGGCGCAAGUGCGAAGCGCCAUGAGUAGGAGGGCGUGGA
RNAcentral lists this ribosomal RNA (1325 nucleotides) under Asterochloris erici. RNAcentral's name for it is "eukaryotic LSU rRNA". It matches the Rfam family "Eukaryotic large subunit ribosomal RNA", at positions 40 to 1395 of the family's 3401-position model. Lineage: Eukaryota; Viridiplantae; Chlorophyta; Trebouxiophyceae; Trebouxiales; Trebouxiaceae. The record is from RNAcentral.